RNAcentral lists this ribosomal RNA (232 nucleotides) under uncultured bacterium. RNAcentral describes it as "partial 16S ribosomal RNA". It matches the Rfam family "Bacterial small subunit ribosomal RNA", at positions 15 to 235 of the family's 1533-position model. The record is from RNAcentral.
GAUCAUGGCUCAGGAUGAACGCUAGCUACAGGCUUAACACAUGCAAGUCGAGGGGCAGCAUGAAAGGAACUUCGGUUCUUUUUGAUGGCGACCGGCGCACGGGUGCGUAACGCGUAUCGAACCUGCCUCAUACUCGGGGAUAGCCUUGCGAAAGUAAGAUUAAUACCCCGGCGGUCUCGGAUUGCCGCAUGACUAUCCGAGUGAAGAUUUANCGGUAUGAGAUGGCGAUGCG